This 253-nucleotide ribosomal RNA is filed under the name uncultured bacterium. RNAcentral describes it as "partial 16S ribosomal RNA". It matches the Rfam family "Bacterial small subunit ribosomal RNA", at positions 524 to 776 of the family's 1533-position model. The record is from RNAcentral.
UACGUAGGGGGCAAGCGUUGUCCGGAUUUAUUGGGCGUAAAGAGCGUGUAGGCGGUUAGGUAGGUCCGUUGUGAAAACUCGAGGCUCAACCUCGAGACGCCGAUGGAAACCAUCUGACUAGAGUCCGGAAGAGGAGAGUGGAAUUCCUGGUGUAGCGGUGAAAUGCGCAGAUAUCAGGAAGAACACCCGUGGCUAAGGCGGCUCUCUAGUACGUGACUGACGCCGAGACGCGAAAGCGUGGGGAGCGAACAGG